Molecule: ribosomal RNA, 467 nt
Filed under: uncultured bacterium
Lineage: Bacteria
Description: partial 16S ribosomal RNA
Rfam family: Bacterial small subunit ribosomal RNA
Source: RNAcentral
GACGAACGCUGGCGGCGUGCUUAACACAUGCAAGUCGAACGGAAAGGCCCUGCUUUUGUGGGGUGCUCGAGUGGCGAACGGGUGAGUAACACGUGAGUAACCUGCCCUUGACUUUGGGAUAACUUCAGGAAACUGGGGCUAAUACCGGAUAGGAGCUCCUGCUGCAUGGUGGGGGUUGGAAAGUUUCGGCGGUUGGGGAUGGACUCGCGGCUUAUCAGCUUGUUGGCGGGGUAGUGGCUUACCAAGGCUUUGACGGGUAGCCGGCCUGAGAGGGUGACCGGCCAAAUGGGGCCGGAAGGAGGGCCGAGACCCUAGCGGGGGGAAGGAGGGGGGAAUGUGGAAAAAGGGGGGGACGCAUGAUGGAGAAACCCCGGGUGCGGGAGGACGGCCUUCGGGUGGGAAACAGCUUUCGCCUGUGAGGAAGGAGGAGGAAGGUAAAGGGGGAAAAAGGCCCGGCUAAAUCAGGG